Molecule: long non-coding RNA, 492 nt
Organism: Triticum aestivum (bread wheat)
Lineage: Eukaryota; Viridiplantae; Streptophyta; Magnoliopsida; Poales; Poaceae
Exons: 3
Source: RefSeq, a predicted model, not a curated record
CAAUAGGGUGAGGAAAAUCAAGAGUAUAUGGAAAUUGCAGAUAGAUGGUUUGAGGGCCUCGUCUGCCAAGACAUUCCAGUUACCAACGAAGUUUAUGCGAUUCAUAAUGUUGAAUUUGAUCGUCAGGAACUACGGAAACUUGUGAGGAUAGUCCAAGAGGUCCAAAAAAGCAUGGGAAAUAAAGAUAGCGGAGAGGGAUCUGAUAAAAAGCUUUCCAGGGCGAAGAAACCACUCAUCAUGUUCCUUCGCUCCCUUGCAAAGAAGACACUUGAAUAGGGCAGGAUGUGGAGGCGCGGAAAAGGAGGGACACAUGGAUAGUUUCAGGAAAAUUUAGUUUCAAAGUGCUAAUGCUUGACCGUUAUGGUAAAAUUCUUAGUGACAGCAUCAUAUAGGGAUGUGUUGUCAAUUAUGGAUUUUGAGCUAUAUUUUACAGGAAGUGGUGCUUUGUAGUGCCAGGUAACUAAUUUCCCAUGAACAUUUAAUUUUUGCUGA